Molecule: non-coding RNA, 487 nt
Organism: Pelobates cultripes (western spadefoot toad)
Lineage: Eukaryota; Metazoa; Chordata; Amphibia; Anura; Pelobatidae
Source: the annotation of a GenBank genome assembly
GUACCUGUUCCAGGAGAAAACCAGAGCAAAACCCAAAUGGUCCUUCCAAUUGUGAGAAGUGACAGCGGAUGGUUCGAUGAAGAUGCCAGCUGACGCUGUCCCACUAAUUACGGAAAACACUCAAUCCGCUGGUAGACCGUACGUGGGGAUGUGACCCCCUUCCUGGAAAACGAUCCAUGACCUGCAAAGUCGAUCUAGUAACCAUAUUCCUGCGGAUGCAAAUUCUGAAGAUCAUUUGCAGACUUGAAACCGUGAGAAAAACCUGCUGCCAGGCCUCGACCCUUGAUGUGAAAGAUGGUUCCUCCGAUCAUGUCAGUGUCACCCGGUGAUGUGGUCGUGCAGGCAAAGUACUCCCAAGAGGCGUCCAGUCAGGGAUCCAACCUGAAUUUUGCAGGAGAUGGCACAGGGAGGAGGCAAAAACCAAAAGCGCAGUACAGAUUAAGGGGAAAUCCAAAGGCAGGGUUAGACGAGAAGCAGAAGUCAGGGC